Molecule: ribosomal RNA, 261 nt
Filed under: uncultured bacterium
Lineage: Bacteria
Description: partial small subunit ribosomal RNA
Rfam family: Bacterial small subunit ribosomal RNA
Source: RNAcentral
AGAGCGAACGCUGGCGGCGUGCUUAACACAUGCAAGUCGAGUGCGCGCCUGUAGCAAUACAGGUGGCGCACGGCGCACGGGUGCGUAACACGUGGGUAAUCUGCCCUUCGAUGGGGAAUAACUCCGGGAACCGAAGCUAAUUCCGCAUAACAUUCCUUGGACCUCGGUCUGGGGAUUCAAAGCCGUAAGGCGUCGGAGGAGGACCCGCGCACGAUUAGUUAGUUGGCAGGGUAACGGCCUACCAAGACUUUGAUCGUUAGC